RNAcentral lists this ribosomal RNA (425 nucleotides) under uncultured rumen bacterium. RNAcentral's name for it is "bacterial SSU rRNA". It matches the Rfam family "Bacterial small subunit ribosomal RNA", at positions 354 to 776 of the family's 1533-position model. The record is from RNAcentral.
GUGGGGAAUAUUGGUCAAUGGGCGGAAGCCUGAACCAGCCAUGCCGCGUGAUGGAAGGAGGCCCUAUGGGUCGUAAACAUCUUUUGUGCGGGAGCAAUAAGGGCCACGCGUGGUCCGAUGAGAGUACCGUACGAAUAAGCAUCGGCUAACUCCGUGCCAGCAGCCGCGGUAAUACGGAGGAUGCAAGCGUUAUCCGGAUUUAUUGGGUUUAAAGGGUGCGUAGGCUGUUUUCCAAGUCAGCGGUGAAAUGCCGGGGCUCAACCCCGGAACUGCCAUUGAUACUGGGAGGCUUGAAUGCGGAUGCCGUGGGAGGAAUGAGUAGUGUAGCGGUGAAAUGCAUAGAUAUUACUCAGAACACCGAUUGCGAAGGCAUCUCACGAAUCCGCUAUUGACGCUGAGGCACGAAAGCGUGGGGAUCAAACAGG